Molecule: long non-coding RNA, 247 nt
Filed under: Solanum tuberosum (potato)
Lineage: Eukaryota; Viridiplantae; Streptophyta; Magnoliopsida; Solanales; Solanaceae
Description: long non-coding RNA (STUB_LNC010663)
Source: RNAcentral
ACAGAUUAUAUGACCAGUGACGACAUAUCGUCACAACUUUCUCCCUUUCAAAAAACUAUGCAUUAUCUGAUACCAAUGACGACAAUUAGAUCCAUUGAAAAUAACAAAAACAGAUUGAGAAAUAUUAUUCUUGUCAAUGAUAUUCGCUCAGUAAAUUAACAUCAACCAAAAAAGAAGCGAAAGACAAAGGAAGAGACCCAACAGUGAUGAAACAAUAUUAAUUGCUUUGAACAAAUUACUACGAGAA